This 460-nucleotide ribosomal RNA is filed under the name uncultured bacterium. Its description in RNAcentral is "partial 16S ribosomal RNA". It matches the Rfam family "Bacterial small subunit ribosomal RNA", at positions 338 to 795 of the family's 1533-position model. The record is from RNAcentral.
CCUACGGGAGGCAGCAGUGAGGAAUAUUGGUCAAUGGACGAGAGUCUGAACCAGCCAAGUAGCGUGAAGGAUGACUGCCCUAUGGGUUGUAAACUUCUUUUAUAUGGGAAUAAAAUGUUCCACGUGUGGGAUUUUGUAUGUACCAUAUGAAUAAGGAUCGGCUAACUCCGUGCCAGCAGCCGCUGUAAUACGGAGGAUCCGAGCGUUAUCCGGAUUUAUUGGGUUUAAAGGGAGCGUAGGUGGAUUGUUAAGUCAGUUGUGAAAGUUUGCGGCUCAACCGUAAAAUUGCAGUUGAAACUGGCAGUCUUGAGUACAGUAGAGGUGGGCGGAAUUCGUGGUGUAGCGGUGAAAUGCGUAGAUAUCACGAAGAACUCCGAGUGCGAAGGCAGUUCACUGGACUGCAACUGACACUGAGGCUCGAAAGUGUGGGUAUCAAACAGGAUUAGAUACCCUUGUAGUC